AUACGUAGGGUGCAAGCGUUAAUCGGAAUUACUGGGCGUAAAGCGUGCGCAGGCGGUUUUGUAAGACAGUGGUGAAAUCCCCGGGCUCAACCUGGGAAAUGCCAUUGUGCCUGCAAAGCUGGAGUGCGGCAGAGGGGGAUGGAAUUCCGCGUGUAGUAGUGGAAUGCGUAGAUAUGCGGAGGAACACCGAUGGCGAAGGCAAUCCCCUGGGCCUGCACUGACGCUCAUGCACGAAAGCGUGGGGAGCAAACAGGAUUAGAUACCCUGGUAGUCCACGCCCUAAACGAUGUCAACUGGUUGUUGGGGAUUUAUUUUCUCAGUAACGAAGCUAACGCGUGAAGUUGACCGCCUGGGGAGUACGGCCGCAAGGUUAAAACUUAAAGGAAUUGACGGGG
This 395-nucleotide ribosomal RNA is filed under the name uncultured bacterium. Its description in RNAcentral is "partial 16S ribosomal RNA". It matches the Rfam family "Bacterial small subunit ribosomal RNA", at positions 523 to 918 of the family's 1533-position model. The record is from RNAcentral.